GGAUUGCCCCAGUAACGGCGAGUGAAGCGGCAACAGCUCAAAUUUGAAAUCUGGCUCUCGGGCCCGAGUUGUAAUUUGUAGAGGAUGCUUUUGGUGAGGUGCCUUCCGAGUUCCCUGGAACGGGACGCCAUAGAGGGUGAGAGCCCCGUCUGGUUGGACGCCGAACCUCUGUAAAGCUCCUUCGACGAGUCGAGUAGUUUGGGAAUGCUGCUCUAAAUGGGAGGUAUAUGUCUUCUAAAGCUAAAUACCGGCCAGAGACCGAUAGCGCACAAGUAGAGUGAUCGAAAGAUGAAAAGAACUUUGAAAAGAGAGUUAAACAGUACGUGAAAUUGUUGAAAGGGAAGCGCUUGUGACCAGACUUGGGCUUGGUUGAUCAUCCGGGGUUCUCCCCGGUGCACUCUUCCGGCCCAGGCCAGCAUCAGUUCGCCCUGGGGGACAAAGGCAUCGGGAACGUGGCUCUCUCCGGGGAGUGU
RNAcentral lists this ribosomal RNA (473 nucleotides) under Fusarium venenatum. Its description in RNAcentral is "partial large subunit ribosomal RNA". It matches the Rfam family "Eukaryotic large subunit ribosomal RNA", at positions 72 to 556 of the family's 3401-position model. The record is from RNAcentral. Lineage: Eukaryota; Fungi; Ascomycota; Sordariomycetes; Hypocreales; Nectriaceae.